This 418-nucleotide ribosomal RNA is filed under the name uncultured bacterium. Its description in RNAcentral is "bacterial SSU rRNA". It matches the Rfam family "Bacterial small subunit ribosomal RNA", at positions 355 to 787 of the family's 1533-position model. The record is from RNAcentral.
UGGGGAAUAUUGGGCAAUGGGCGCAAGCCUGACUCAGCAACGCCGCGUGAAGGAAGAAGGCUUUCGGGUUGUAAACUUCUUUUCUGAGGGACGAAGAAAGUGACGGUACCUCAGGAAUAAGCCACGGCUAACUACGUGCCAGCAGCCGCGGUAAUACGUAGGUGGCAAGCGUUAUCCGGAUUUAUUGGGUGUAAAGGGCGUGUAGGCGGGAAUGCAAGUCAGAUGUGAAAACUAUGGGCUCAACCCAUAGCCUGCAUUUGAAACUGUAUUUCUUGAGUGCUGGAGAGGCAAUCGGAAUUCCGUGUGUAGCGGUGAAAUGCGUAGAUAUACGGAGGAACACCAGUGGCGAAGGCGGAUUGCUGGACAGUAACUGACGCUGAGGCGCGAAAGCGUGGGGAGCAAACAGGAUUAGAUACCC